CGCGGUGUAGCUCAGCUUGGCUAGAGCGUCCGGUUCAUACCCGGGAGGUCGUGGGUUCGAUCCCCUCCACCGCGA
Molecule: transfer RNA, 75 nt
Filed under: Tetragenococcus koreensis
Lineage: Bacteria; Bacillati; Bacillota; Bacilli; Lactobacillales; Enterococcaceae
Description: tRNA-Met
Rfam family: tRNA
About the family: Transfer RNA (tRNA) molecules are approximately 80 nucleotides in length. Their secondary structure includes four short double-helical elements and three loops (D, anti-codon, and T loops).
Source: RNAcentral